AGUGAACGCUGGCGGUAGGCCUAACACAUGCAAGUCGAACGGCAGCACAGUAAGAGCUUGCUCUUACGGGUGGCGAGUGGCGGACGGGUGAGGAAUACAUCGGAAUCUACUUUUUCGUGGGGGAUAACGUAGGGAAACUUACGCUAAUACCGCAUACGACCUACGGGUGAAAGCAGGGGAUCUUCGGACCUUGCGCGAUUGAAUGAGCCGAUGUCGGAUUAGCUAGUUGGCGGGGUAAAGGCCCACCAAGGCGACGAUCCGUAGCUGGUCUGAGAGGAUGAUCAUCCACACUGGAACUGGGACACGGUCCAUACUCCUACGGAGUGCACCAGUGGGGAAUAUUGGACAAUGGGCGCAAGCCUGAUCCAGCCAUACCGCGUGGGUGAAGAAGGCCUUCGGGUUGUAAAGCCCUUUUGUUGGGAAAGAAAAGCAGCAGAUUAAUACCCCGCUGUUCUGACGGUACCCAAAGAAUAAGCACCGGCUAACUUCGUG
RNAcentral lists this ribosomal RNA (492 nucleotides) under uncultured bacterium. Its description in RNAcentral is "partial 16S ribosomal RNA". It matches the Rfam family "Bacterial small subunit ribosomal RNA", at positions 29 to 507 of the family's 1533-position model. The record is from RNAcentral.